Molecule: ribosomal RNA, 273 nt
Filed under: uncultured Roseburia sp.
Lineage: Bacteria; Bacillati; Bacillota; Clostridia; Lachnospirales; Lachnospiraceae
Description: partial 16S ribosomal RNA
Rfam family: Bacterial small subunit ribosomal RNA
Source: RNAcentral
AUUUCUUCGGAAUGAAGUUUUGUGACUGAGUGGCGGACGGGUGAGUAACGCGUGGGUAACCUGCCUCAUACAGGGGGAUAACAGUUGGAAACGACUGCUAAUACCGCAUAAGCGCACAGGAUUGCAUGAUCCAGUGUGAAAAACUCCGGUGGUAUGAGAUGGACCCGCGUCUGAUUAGCCAGUUGGCGGGGUAACGGCCCACCAAAGCGACGAUCAGUAGCCGACCUGAGAGGGUGACCGGCCACAUUGGGACUGAGACACGGCCCAAACUCC